This 263-nucleotide ribosomal RNA is filed under the name uncultured bacterium. RNAcentral's name for it is "partial 16S ribosomal RNA". It matches the Rfam family "Bacterial small subunit ribosomal RNA", at positions 793 to 1055 of the family's 1533-position model. The record is from RNAcentral.
GUCCACGCCGUAAACGGUGGGUACUAGGUGUGGGGACAUUCCACGUUCUCCGUGCCGUAGCUAACGCAUUAAGUACCCCGCCUGGGGAGUACGGCCGCAAGGCUAAAAACUCAAAGGAAUUGACGGGGCCCCGCACAAGCGGCGGAGCAUGCGGAUUAAUUCGAUGCAACGCGAAGAACCUUACCUGGGUUUGACAUAUGCCGGAAACAUCUAGAGAUAGGUGCCCCUUUUUGGUCGGUUUACAGGUGGUGCAUGGCUGUCGU